UACGUAGGUGGCGAGCGUUGUCCGGAUUUACUGGGCGUAAAGGGAGCGUAGGCGGGCUUUUAAGUGAGAUGUGAAAUACUCGGGCUCAACUUGAGUGCUGCAUUUCAAACUGGUAGACUUGAGUGCAGGAGAGGAGAGUGGAAUUCCAUGUGUAGCGGUGAAAUGCGUAGAUAUAUGGAGGAACACCGGUGGCGAAAGCGGCUCUCUGGCCUGUAACUGACACUGAGGCUCGAAAGCGUGGGGAGCAAACAGG
RNAcentral lists this ribosomal RNA (253 nucleotides) under uncultured bacterium. RNAcentral describes it as "partial 16S ribosomal RNA". It matches the Rfam family "Bacterial small subunit ribosomal RNA", at positions 524 to 776 of the family's 1533-position model. The record is from RNAcentral.